Molecule: ribosomal RNA, 315 nt
Filed under: uncultured bacterium
Lineage: Bacteria
Description: bacterial SSU rRNA
Rfam family: Bacterial small subunit ribosomal RNA
Source: RNAcentral
GACGAACGCUGGCGGCGUGCUUAACACAUGCAAGUCACGGGGGCCCGCAAGGGCAACCGGCGAACGGGUGCGUAACACGUGAACAACCUGCCCUCGUGUGGGGGAUAGCCGGGCUAACGCCCGGGUAAUACCGCAUACGUUCCCUUGGAGGAGUCUCUGGGGGAGAAAGCUCCGGCGCACGGGGAGGGGUUCNCGGCCCAUCAGCUAGUUGGCGGGGUAAUGGCCCACCAAGGCGACGACGGGUAGCUGGUCUGAGAGGAUGGCCAGCCACAUUGGGACUGAGAGACGGCCCAGACUCCUACGGGAGGCAGCAGU